UGGUGGGUAGUUUGACUGGGGCGGUCUCCUCCUAAAGAGUAACGGAGGAGCACGAAGGUUGGCUAAUCCUGGUCGGACAUCAGGAGGUUAGUGCAAUGGCAUAAGCCAGCUUGACUGCGAGCGUGACGGCGCGAGCAGGUGCGAAAGCAGGUCAUAGUGAUCCGGUGGUUCUGAAUGGAAGGGCCAUCGCUCAACGGAUAAAAGGUACUCCGGGGAUAACAGGCUGAUACCGCCCAAGAGUUCAUAUCGACGGCGGUGUUUGGCACCUCGAUGUCGGCUCAUCACAUCCUGGGGCUGAAGUAGGUCCCAAGGGUAUGGCUGUUCGCCAUUUAAAGUGGUACGCGAGCUGGGUUUAGAACGUCGUGAGACAGUUCGGUCCCUAUCUGCCGUGGGCACUGGAGAACUGAGGGGGGCUGCUCCUAGUACGAGAGGACCGGAGUGGACGCAUCACUGGUGUUCGGGUUGUCAUGCCAAUGGCACUGCCCGGUAGCUAAAUGCGGAAGAGAUAAGUGCUGAAAGCAUCUAAGCACGAAACUUGCCCCGAGAUGAGUUCUCCCUGACUCCUUGAGAGUCCUGAAGGAACGUUGAAGACGACGACGUUGAUAGGCCGGGUGUGUAAGCGCAGCGAUGCGUUGAGCUAACCGGUACUAAUGAACCGUGAGGCUUAACCUU
This 672-nucleotide ribosomal RNA is filed under the name Escherichia coli. RNAcentral describes it as "partial 23S ribosomal RNA". It matches the Rfam family "Bacterial large subunit ribosomal RNA", at positions 2259 to 2925 of the family's 2925-position model. The record is from RNAcentral. Lineage: Bacteria; Pseudomonadati; Pseudomonadota; Gammaproteobacteria; Enterobacterales; Enterobacteriaceae.